Molecule: long non-coding RNA, 88 nt
Organism: Xiphophorus couchianus (Monterrey platyfish)
Lineage: Eukaryota; Metazoa; Chordata; Actinopteri; Cyprinodontiformes; Poeciliidae
Exons: 3
Source: RefSeq, a predicted model, not a curated record
GGAUGUGCAGUUCCACCAGGUGUUUGCCAAUUGCUGCAGCCACCAGUCUGAAGGGGCUGAGUGGGGAAGUUAACUGACAUUUUCAUUC